RNAcentral lists this ribosomal RNA (268 nucleotides) under uncultured eukaryote. RNAcentral's name for it is "partial 28S ribosomal RNA". It matches the Rfam family "Eukaryotic large subunit ribosomal RNA", at positions 1 to 266 of the family's 3401-position model. The record is from RNAcentral.
UUGACCUCAAAUCAGGUAGGAUUACCCGCUGACUUAAGCAUAUCAAUAAGCGGAGGAAAAGAAACCAACUGGGAUUACCUUAGUAACGGCGAGUGAAGCGGUAAAAGCUCAAAUUUGAAAUCUGGUACUUUCAGUGCCCGAGUUGUAAUUUGUAGAAUUUGUCUUUUGAUUAGGUCCUUGUCUAUGUUCCUUGAACAGGACGUCAUAGAGGUGAGAAUCCCGUUUGGCGAGGAUACCUUUUUCCUUUGUAGAACUUUUUCGAAGAGUC